UUUCGUAAAAGUACGCCAUUACUUUUUUAUUCGUUGAAGAGUAAAGUUGUGGGAGUUAAAAAAAUUGUGAUUUUAAUUGUGAAGAAUUUAGAAGGAAGUAGUUGAAUUUUAGCAAAUUGAGUAUUGAGUUAAAAUUUAGAUUCUUAAAUAUGGAAGUAAAAACAGAAAAUAAUGGGACUCCUUUACCACAAAGAAUAAAACAAAACGCUAAUCAGCCUGAAGCGGAAGAGAAGAAGCCACGUUUUGGGAAUCAAGGUGGUCAAGGAAAUCAAGGAGGCGGGAAUGAUCAAGGAAAUAGAAAUGCGGGUGGUGGAGGUGGUGGAGGAAACCGCAAUCAGAACCGAGGAAAUAGAUUUGGAAACAGAAAUCAAAAUAUGGGUGGAAGAGGUGGAAAUAUUAAAAGCGAGAAUGAUAUUCCAAACUUAAUGGACGGACUUGAUAAUCGUGGGGGAAAUGAUCGUGAUAAUAGGGAUAAUCGUGGCAAUGACCGACGUGGCCAACGAGGUGGUGGAGGCGGUAAUCGCCGUGACAAUAUGAAUGAUGAUCGUGGCAAUUAUAGAGGAAAGGGUGAAGAUCACAUAAUGAAUUCAAAAUUGAAAGCUUUAGCAGGACCAACACAUGAAUUGCCUCCUAUUGAUACAGUAGAAACUAAAUUUUCAGGGAGAAACCGCUUAUAUAUUGGAAAUUUGACAAAUGAUGUUACAGAAGAAGAACUAAAGGAAUUAUUUAAACCAUACGGAGAGAUUGCUGAAGCAUUUAUAAAUGCUGAGAAAAACUUUGCGUUUUUGAAAGUAGAUUAUCAUGCAAAUGCAGAAAGAGCGAAACGGGAGUUGGAUGGUUCAAAUCGUAAAAACCGUCAAUUACGUAUACGUUUUGCACCAAAUGCUACAAUUGUGCGUGUAAAAAAUCUAACGCCAUAUGUUUCCAAUGAACUGUUAUUUAAAGCUUUCGAAAUUUUUGGUCCGGUCGAAAGAGCAGUAAUAAUUGUAGACGAUCGUGGCAAACCAACUGGGGAAGGAAUCGUUGAAUUUGCUCGAAAAGCUGGCGCUUCUGCAGCUAUUCGCGCUUGCACAGAAAAAUGUUUCUUUUUAACAGCAUCUCUUCGACCAUGCGUUGUUGAACCCUUUGAAAUAAAUGAUGAUACUGAUGGUAUGCCAGAUAAAUUAAUGAACAAAAAAACUCAAGAAUUUUCCAGAGAACGUCAAGUUGGGCCAAGAUUUGCUGAGCAUACUUCAUUUGAGCAUGAAUACGGUACCAGGUGGAAGCAAUUGCACGAAUUAUUUAAACAGAAACAUGAGUCAUUAAAAAGAGAAUUACAAAUGGAAGAAGAAAAACUAGAAGCUCAAAUGGAGUUUGCUCGUUAUGAGCAUGAAACGGAACUAUUAAGAGAACAAUUACGUAAACGGGAAGAGGACCGUGAUCGCCAAAGAAUGGAAUGGGAAAUGAGACAGCGUCAACAUGAUGAAAUGAGGAACAGAGAAAGUGAUCAUCUCCGCCGCCAGCAAGAAGAAAUGCAAACAAGAUUAAACAGGCAAGAUGAGGAAAUGAAACGCCGCCAACAGGAAAAUACUUUGUUUAUGCAAGCCCAACAACUUAACUCUCUUCUUGAUCAACAAGAAUUCGGCGGAGGUGGUGGUCCUGGAAAUGGUCCAGAUGGAGAUGACUUUAACAGAGGAGGUGGCGGAGGUGGCAAUCGCGGAGGCAAUUUUGGAAAUGAUAAUUUUGGAGGUUUUUUAAAUGGAAAAUCUUUUCCAGCUGGAAACAAUCAAAACAAUAACGGGCCAAAUCAGAAACAUCGUCUAGAGGUGACCGGGGUUAUUGUAUCAUUCAAUAUUGCAGGCAUGAUUCUAAUUUGAAACAAUUUGACUAAAAAUUGAAGACUAAUAUAAAUUGAAGAGAAGUAACAAAAGAACUUCAUGGAAUAUAAUAUACCAAGUAAAAUUAAAAGGUUCGUUUAAAUUUCUAAAUUGGCAAAUAAAUUGUGAAUAACCCAGAAUAAAUAUGUGCUCUGCAAAAGAAAGCAACUUUGAAUCCUAAACAUUUUGGUUGCAGUUUCUGUGUAAAUACCUUCAUAUGUUUAAAGGGCGGAUAUUUUUGCUAACUUAUCAGCUUGUAAUUGGGAGACUGUGUUUUCUGAUAGUGAAGAAAAUUUUUUUGUACAGGUAGAUCAGCUGGUAAUUGGGAGACUGUGUUUUCUGAUAGUGAAGAAAAUUUUUUUGUACAGGUAGAUUCGUGUUUUGUAAUUACACAAGGUCUGGGUUGAAAUUAUAAAUUAUUAUAUGAGCACAUUUUUCGGAUGUUACAGAUUCGUGUUUUGUAAUUACACAAGGUCUGGGUUGAAAUUAUAAAUUAUUAUAUGAGCACAUUUUUCGGAUGUUACAGAAUCGUGUUUUGUAAUUGCUCAAAUUUUUUUUGGAUUUAUAUAAAUCAUUACAUGAGCACAGUUGUCGGAUGUUUCAGAAUACACGCACGCAUGCAAUAAAUGUAUAUGUAAAUGUUAUGCAGAACGCUUCUGACAUGGAAAUUACUACUACAAAUAUGGAUUAAUAUAUUAAUCAUUAAAUAAAACAAAAACUUGCCGAUUCUAAAAAUAAAAUUAAUGGACAAAUGUUUGGUUCAAACUGGAUUUAUAAUGGACAAUAAGGAAUAAAAGCCAAAUUUUAUUAUAUAAAAUGGAUUAUUGCGAUUAUUGGUAUCAUAGGAAAUUAAUAAAUAUCAAGUAGCUGUGGUGCUAUAAAAGUGAAAAUAAGGAUUAUGAAAAAUUUAGCAGCACUACUCAGAUCAACGUGCUUCAUAUUCAAUAUGGAUUUACUUUCAACAAUCGUUUAGAAAAUGGCUUCAAAAAAUACUAAACCAUUUUUGAAAGUUUUACAAACAAUAAUUUGAGAUGAUAUUUUAAAUAUGGACGGGGAUAGUUAGAUAUAUAACUAAACGAUAACAACAAUAAUUAAUUUGUUUGCUUUUAAUUUCACACAUUUUGUGAUUAUUUCAUUAUACGUAUGUACAUAUAUAUCGGUUUUUAAUUUUUUUUUUGUUAUAUUUUCAUUAUUAAUUAACUGUGGAAACAUUUUGAGCCAUAUUCUCAAAAACAAAAUAUCUUGUUAUCUAUUUAAAUUCGGUUCUUAAUAUUACACGUACUUUUUUUUGUUUCUGAAUUACAUUUUUUACAUUUUCAAAGUGGUCCUCAAAUUAUUGUUUUUAAAAGUUCAAAGAAAUUUGUGGAAAAAGUUUUCAGGUACGUAUAAAUAUCAGCUAUCUGUGUUCUUUUUUGCGAAAUUGGGGAUAUAAAAGUGAACGAGCGCCUUAAAUAUUAUUUUAAAUUUUUUGAUAAUGAAAAAUAAAUAAAAGGAAAAAUGUACAUAACAUUCAUA
RNA transcript from Condylostylus longicornis, 3371 nucleotides. It is a transcript of the gene named hrp65 protein-like, with no coding region annotated. The transcript has 20 exons. Lineage: Eukaryota; Metazoa; Arthropoda; Insecta; Diptera; Dolichopodidae. The record is from RefSeq and is a predicted model, not a curated record.